CGGAGAGUAGUAUAGUGGUAGUACAUACGUUUCGGGUGCGUAAGGCCCGAGUUCGAUUCUCGGCUCUCCGA
Molecule: transfer RNA, 71 nt
Filed under: Candidatus Giovannonibacteria bacterium
Lineage: Bacteria; Candidatus Giovannoniibacteriota
Description: tRNA-Pro
Rfam family: tRNA
About the family: Transfer RNA (tRNA) molecules are approximately 80 nucleotides in length.
Source: RNAcentral